ACUAUUACAGCUUAGUGGGUAUACAGUGUGCUCGUAAGGUUACUAUUACAGCUUAGUGGGUAUACAGUGUGCUCGUAAGGUUACUAUUACAGCUUAGUGGGUAUACAGUGUGCUCUUAGGUAAGGUUACUAUUACAGCUUAGUGGGUAUACAGUGUGCUCGUAAGGUUACUAUUACAGCUUAGUGGGUAUACAGUGUGCUCGUAAGGUUACUAUUACAGCUUAGUGGGUAUACAGUGUGCUCGUAAGGUUACUAUUACAAGAAGAGCAACUACUAUUACAUUUUGCAAGUAGAUCAGGUGGAGAGAAUACAGCAGCAUCCCACAGCAGAGACUAGGAGGGUUAGAAAAGAAACAAAGUGAGUAGGCC
This is a long non-coding RNA of Clupea harengus (Atlantic herring), 367 nucleotides long. The record is from Ensembl. NCBI's taxonomy places the organism in Eukaryota, Metazoa, Chordata, Actinopteri, Clupeiformes, Clupeidae.